AAAAAAUUAAAAUAUUAUUAACUUAAUAAAAUCAUCCACUACAUAAUCAUUCAUUAUCUUUACAAUUAACCAUCUAAAGCUACCACGGUUCUUCAAUCAAAGUAUAUAUCUACAUAUAUAGAGAGAGUACACUUCAUAAUUUCGUCCCUUGUCUUCCGUAAACGUAGCACAGAAAUUUGAUACCCAGUAUUGUAAGGCUUCCUGCACAUAUUUAAAAAUAAUAGCAAGUCGAAAAAAUGAAGAAAAUAGGUCACUAGAGGCACUUAGUGCCAAAAUCAAUACACAAAGACAACAAUGUUGUGUUAUUUUCUUACUAAUCAAGGGACAUGGAAGAAGGUAAUAACCUUUUUAUUAACUACCAAAUUAAUAUCUAAAUCAAAUAUCCUGAAGAAGAAAAACAUGUGCUUCAUGAACCUCGUCCUGGUGGGUAUACUUUGACACACGUAUCAAGAUAAUAAUUGGUGCUCAUAAAUAAUGUUACAAGUGAACAGACAUUUUACAGGCUUAUAAUGAUGACAGUACAACUUGAUAAAUAUGUUUGAGCGUGUAGCGAAAGUCAAAACAUACUUGAUGAUUCUGCUGGAAAGGAAAUUGCUGAUUGCGAUAACUAUUUUUCCUGCUUAAUUGCAUGAUGUUUCUGGAACGAGUCUGAUGUUUGGUGCCUUAGCAGCAUGUCUUGUUGUAAUAUAUUUGGUUGUUGUUGCUAUAAUUGUCGUUGUGAAUCCUGUUGUGGCUCUUUUGCUCAAUUCACCUUCUCUAAAACAUAUAUUGUGAAAAUUCACCAAAUUAAACUAUGAAACACAUAUAACAGUCAAAAAAGCGUGAUUUACAAAGCAUAUGCUAGUUAUAUGGGAAUGUUGGAUAAACCAUUCAUCAUUUUCAGAGAACCAUCAUAUAUGAUAGUGAAGCCAUAUGAAAAUCAAUAGACAAGUCUAUCAAUUUAGCUGGUAAAAACAUGUUCAAUGUUGAGAUAAUGUCAACUGACAUGUAUAAUUUGACAUUUAGAUAUACUUAUCAAUAUUAUAUAUAUAUAUAUAUAUAUAUGUAAAAUCUAGACAUGGAUAAAAAGUCCCGAUUUACAAAGGAAGUCAAGCACAAGAAAAAAUAGAAAGAAUGAAAAUAACGUGAUAGAAAGGAAAUUGAUCUUGUGUAAGCAAUGCUCAGUUUUUAAAAGGUGAUCCUUUGAUAAUAAAGCAACCAAACUAACUUAUAAUGUUUACUAAACUAAGAUAUAUUUAAGGUAGGCAAAAAAUAGAGAAGAUUUUACCUUAAGAAAUAGUGCGCAAUAUGAUCGCAUGUACUUGCAUAUUAGCAAAAAAUAUUCUACUAUGUAUUGAUUCGAGUUCAUCUACCAACGUAGCAUAACCAUCGUGUACAUCUUUCAAUUCAUAGCUUGAUCAUCUAAAUUAUCUCAAAAAGAUGAAGAGCAAGAUUUCAUUACCCUAUGCUUCUCUUGGAUACUAUGGUUCCCUAUAAUUUUCAAAUGCAACAGAAUGUAACCUUCGUCUAAAGGUAGUAGAGGUUUUAUCCACUUUAUCAAUUUUCCUUUUUUUAAUCUUUUGGAUGAAGAGAUUUUCUAUCAAGUAUGAGUUAAUAUUUCCUCCAUAUUUACUCUUGUCAUGGACAUUUCUGUUAAUCUUCAGAGAAUUUCAAGACUACAAAAGUAACUGCUUACUAAAUUAUUUUGCCCCUGUAUUUCUUUCUUUUGUCAUUCCAAUUUAGCAGGCUUAUCCUAUCCUUGCCAAUAUUAAGUUUUAAUAUAACACAAGAUACCUGAUUUCUCCCUUUACCUUUCAACAUCAUGUUGCCAACAGCUACCAUCUGUCAAUCUGCAUAAUAUUGAAAAAGAACUAUUAGAUGAAAGAAAUAAACAUAUUCAAAGAACAAGGGUAUAAUUGCAAAGCAUUUACACUACAAGCACACAACUUUACAAAUAAUUAACGUGUGUGUGUGUGUGUCAGUGUGAGUAUAUAUAUAUUCACUCCCUCCAUUCUAGAGAUACAUUUUAAAAACUUUAUUUUUUUUCAAAUUAUCACUAACUUUAUUUUUUGGAAUGGACAAAAAAAUGCAUCUCUAAUUUGGAAGUGAGGGGAGUAUAAAAUUAAAUAAAAACAACUGAGAAAAAUAAGAAAAGAUUAAUUAUGUUAGUACUUAUGUGGUGAACAUGAAACAAACAAUGAAAACUUCUUCCAGAGUAUGUCAAUGUCAAAGGCAAUUAUAAUAAUAGACACUCUGCUAGGAACUUCUGCAUUAUUCACAUCUCUAUGCACACUGAUUCUAUUUUGCUUAUGUGUUAUGGGGAAAGUGCCUGCAACUGCUACAACUUACGCCCCUCCGCAUUUUAAUUCUAACUGCUUAUUUGCUUAGAACUCCCCCUUACCCAAUUCUUCCUUCUGCAGAGCUAUAGCAAGAGCUAUUUCCUACCAUAUAGCUAUUGACUUCAGCUGCCAGUUUUCUAUAAGUCCAUGAAGCCAGCAUCUACAAUAAAUGCAAGGAUUUCUUCUGUUUAAACUAAAAUAACCAAACAUGAAGAAUAUUGGUGAUGUUGUUCUCAUUUAUGUAGUCUACAAGUGCCUUCGAAACAUCAUUACCAUCAAGAACAAUGCUUCUCGCUUGAAUCUGAAACAGCAUUCAAAAUCAAUUGAAACAUUAGUCGAAAUGCUACAUGGUCUUCUACAUUGCAUUAUAUCACCAAUUAACAUACCCCUUUUCGUCCACAGUAUGUAUGGAAGGCUUUAAAAAGUCAUUGCGUAGCAUCAAUUAAUUGACCAUUCCCAUCUGGAGCACUACCAUCCAUAUCAGCAGUCUCUUCAAAGUGUCCCAUUGUAAAUGAAAUUAGAGCCACAAAAAUUUGUAUUACAAUGCUUUAUAGACAUUUUUUAUUCUGAGGCACAACCAAAAUAGUCAUUUUAAACAAUACCGCAAGUGCCAAUUUCCAAUAACAGUAUCAGCACAAUCUUGAAGUCCCAUUUCUAUAAUUGUACUCUCAACCAACGACUACUUCUCUUGCCCAAGCCAUUUUGCCAGGGAGACGAAGGUGAGCUGAAUAUGAAAUUGUUUCGCAAACCGUGAGAUCACCAAUCAAGUUAUCAUCUUGAGUUACAUAUGCCUGAAUGAUGAUCCAUUUGAAACAGAAAAAUCAUUUAAUCAAUUUCUACAAAUUAACGAAUUUAAAUUACUUGAAUCACAAGUUUUGUAUGCAUUUAUAGUAAAAAAAAAAAGGAAAUUAAAUCAUCUAGAGAAAAAGAUGUGCAUAAUUCUUUCCAGUUGUAAUUAAAGCAUAACACUACAGACUAACAUGAAGUCAGCAAAACACAAUCCAACAGCAAUCAAACAAGAAUCAAUCACAUAUAUACACUAUUCCUCUUUUCAGCUAUCAAACAAACAAAUUCAAGAUGAUGGUUCAAUUUAAUGGUAUAAAUAAACAGAAAUUGAUACAUAUCCCAUACACACAUAUACUCCAUCCGUCCAAAAAUGAGUCACAUUUAACAGAAAACAUAGGCAUACUUAGUACAUUUUCAACAGAGAAGGGCUGUUCCUGUGAUGGGCAAACAAAGAGGAAAAGAACAAAGAAGAAAUUAGGGUUCUAAAUUGAGAAAAAGAAGAGAAACUAACUGGAAGUUACAAUUGAGAAAUACAGAUAAGUUUUCUAUAACAAGCUAUUACAGAAAUUUACGGUAUAACAUGCCAGCGGCAAUUUGAGAGCUGAGAGUUUUAAUUUGAGAGAGGAUAACUUCAAUUUCAGAUAAAAGAGUUUCAAUUUCGAGACCAGUGGGAAGGUAGCGACGAGGUAGCGGCGGCGGCAAGGCAGGGAGACAAGGCGGCGACAAGAUAUAGAUCUACGAGCCACCUUGGAGAGGGCAGAGUCACUAUUUGGGAUUUGGGGUUUUGGGUUAGGCUAGAGACAGAGCGAGAGAGCGAGAGAGCUAGAGACUGAUUUGGGUAAUUAUUGUCGAGCAGUCGUGCAUCCUUACUGUUUUAGAUUUUUAAGUAAAAAAAAUU
This 4002-nucleotide long non-coding RNA is filed under the name Panax ginseng (ginseng). Its description in RNAcentral is "long non-coding RNA (PGIN_LNC000943)". Lineage: Eukaryota; Viridiplantae; Streptophyta; Magnoliopsida; Apiales; Araliaceae. The record is from RNAcentral.